AUUGAACGCUGGCGGCAUGCCUUACACAUGCAAGUCGAACGGUAACAGGUCUUCGGAUGCUGACGAGUGGCGAACGGGUGAGUAAUACAUCGGAACGUGCCUAGUAGUGGGGGAUAACUACUCGAAAGAGUGGCUAAUACCGCAUGAGAUCUACGGAUGAAAGCAGGGGAUCGCAAGACCUUGUGCUACUAGAGCGGACGAUGGCAGAUUAGGUAGUUGGUGGGAUAAAAGCUUACCAAGCCGACGAUCUGUAGCUGGUCUGAGAGGACGAUCAGCCACACUGGGACUGAGACACGGCCCAGACUCCUACGGGAGGCAGCAGUGGGGAAUUUUGGACAAUGGGCGCAAGCCUGAUCCAGCAAUGCUGCGUGCAGGAUGAAGGCCUUCGGGUUGUAAACUGCUUUUGUACGGAACGAAAAGCCCUGGGUUAAUACCCUGGGGUCAUGACGGUACCGUAAGAAUAAGCACCGGCUAACUACGUGCCAGCAGCCGCGGUAA
Molecule: ribosomal RNA, 498 nt
Filed under: uncultured bacterium
Lineage: Bacteria
Description: partial 16S ribosomal RNA
Rfam family: Bacterial small subunit ribosomal RNA
Source: RNAcentral